This 253-nucleotide ribosomal RNA is filed under the name uncultured bacterium. RNAcentral describes it as "partial 16S ribosomal RNA". It matches the Rfam family "Bacterial small subunit ribosomal RNA", at positions 524 to 776 of the family's 1533-position model. The record is from RNAcentral.
GACAGAGGGUGCAAACGUUGUUCGGAAUUACUGGGCGUAAAGCGCGUGUAGGCUGCUCAGAAAGUUGGAUGUGAAAGCCCUGGGCUUAACCUAGGAAGUGCAUUCAAAACUACUGAGCUGGAGUCCUGGAGAGGAUCGCGGAAUUCCCGGUGUAGAGGUGAAAUUCGUAGAUAUCGGGAGGAACACCAGUGGCGAAGGCGGCUUACUGGUCCGGUACUGACGCUGAGGUGCGAAAGCGUGGGGAGCAAACAGG